UUGCUUCUCUUGAGAGCGGCGGACGGGUGAGUAAUGCCUAGGAAUCUGCCUGGUAGUGGGGGAUAACGUCCGGAAACGGACGCUAAUACCGCAUACGUCCUACGGGAGAAAGCAGGGGACCUUCGGGCCUUGCGCUAUCAAAUGAGCCUAGGUCGGAUUACCUAGUUGGUGGGGUAAUGGCUCACCAAGGCGACGAUCCGUAACUGGUCUGAGAGGAUGAUCAGUCACACUGGAACUGAGACACGGUCCAGACUCCUACGGGAGGCAGCAGUGGGGAAUAUUGGACAAUGGGCGAAAGCCUGAUCCAGCCAUGCCGCGUGUGUGAAGAAGGUCUUCGGAUUGUAAAGCACUUUAAGUUGGGAGGAAGGGCAGUAAAUUAAUACUUUGCUGUUUUGACGUUACCGACAGAAUAAGCACCGGCUAACUCUGUGCCAGCAGCCGCGGUAAUACAGAGGGUGCAAGCGUUAAUCUGAAUUACUGGGCGUAAAGCGCGCGUAGUGGUUCGUUAAAUUGGAUGU
This 518-nucleotide ribosomal RNA is filed under the name uncultured bacterium. Its description in RNAcentral is "bacterial SSU rRNA". It matches the Rfam family "Bacterial small subunit ribosomal RNA", at positions 80 to 595 of the family's 1533-position model. The record is from RNAcentral.